This 345-nucleotide ribosomal RNA is filed under the name Nematoda environmental sample. RNAcentral's name for it is "SSU rRNA". It matches the Rfam family "Eukaryotic small subunit ribosomal RNA", at positions 1300 to 1665 of the family's 1831-position model. Lineage: Eukaryota; Metazoa; Nematoda. The record is from RNAcentral.
CGUGGAUCGAUUUGUCUGGUUUAUUCCGAUAACGAGCGAGACUCUAGCCUACUAAAUAGUUACGGGAUUUGCUUGCAUGUCCUGCUUAGCUUCUUAGAGGGAUUUUCGGUGUUUAGCCGCACGAGAUUGAGCAAUAACAGGUCUGUGAUGCCCUUAGAUGUCCGGGGCUGCACGCGCGCUACACUGGCGAAAUCAGCGUGCUGUAUCCAUUCUCGAAAGGGAUUGGUAAACCCAUGAAAAUUUGCCGUGCUUGGGAUCGGAAAUUGCAAUUAUUUUCCGUGAACGAGGAAUUCCAAGUAAGUGCGAGUCAUCAACUCGCUCUGAAUACGUCCCUGCCCUUUGUAC